UGGACAGAUUAUUGCAUUCGACUGUAUUCACGGCGUAAAAUAGGGGAUUACACUAUUUUUAAAACGGAAAGUGAAUCAAUUAACAUAAUAGACUCCU
Molecule: microRNA precursor, 97 nt
Organism: Nicotiana attenuata
Lineage: Eukaryota; Viridiplantae; Streptophyta; Magnoliopsida; Solanales; Solanaceae
Rfam family: MIR6152 microRNA precursor family
Source: Rfam